This is a non-coding RNA of Xyrichtys novacula (pearly razorfish), 1132 nucleotides long. Lineage: Eukaryota; Metazoa; Chordata; Actinopteri; Labriformes; Labridae. The record is from the annotation of a GenBank genome assembly.
AGGGUUAGGGGUUGAAGGUUAAUGGGGCUAGGGUUAGGGGUUAGGGUUAGGGGUUAGGGGUUAGGGUUAGGGUUAGGGUUAGGGUUAGGGUUAGGGUUAGGGUUAGGGUUAGGGGUUAGGGUUAGGGUUAGGGUUAGGGGUUAGGGUUAGGGUUAGGGUUAGGGUUAGGGUUAGGGUUAGGGUUAGGGUUAGGGGUUAGGGUUAGGGUUAGGGUUAGGGUUAGGGGUUAGGGUUAGGGUUAGGGUUAGGGGUUAGGGUUAGGGUUAGGGUUAGGUGAGGGGACUCUGUCCCGUCUCCCAUAAGGAGCGGGGAAUGCGCUGGCCUUCCCCCAUCCGUACCCGUCCCUACGAUCCCAAGACUGCUGGCGGAAACGUCGAGCCCUCCGGCCGUAUCUGACUUCCGUCCAGCCUUGAUUGUAGCCACUCAUGUUGGAGUGGCUAUUGAAAUGUUUUAUUUAUUUUAAUAUUGGUUUGUUUAAAGAAAUAAAAGACUGAUUUUUACCUAUAAAAGGAAACCUAUCUGUAUAAACAAAGGAAACUUAACUUUUAAAAUUUAAACUUUUCUUAAAAUAAAAUGCUGAUUGUUUUAAUCAAAAUGUAAAAAUAAAAUGAAUAAACUGUUUUUAAAUAUUUUUAGAUGUUUUUAAAGUUUUUAUCAAGUUUUUUAAUUUUUUUAUAUUUUUUUGUUAUUUUUUUACUUUUUUUCUCAAUAAACUAUGUACAAAUGAAAUUUGUGUGCCCACGACGACGUUUCGACCCGUUGUGGGUCUUCUUCAGGUCUGGCACACCUCACUUCAACAAAAAAAACUCUCUCUGAAAUGAAAAACAAAAGAUGCUGGCUGGUAAUUAUAAAGAUGUUCUCUCUUCAAGCUUCUGAGUGGAAAUGAUUAAGCCCAACCCACUGCUCCCUUUUAUAGUCUCUGGCAAAUAAAUACAAUGAAUUUUGUUAUUUUAUUAUCAUGUGCUCUUUUAAAUUUUAAAUUUUAAGCCCUUAACUAUGAAUUACUUUUAACCCUUUACUAUACAACAAUGAUCUGUAUCCCAUGUAUUUAUUAAAAUGUAUUUAUUUAUGUAUUAUUUAUUAAUUAAUUAUUUAUUUAUUUAAAAUUAAUAUAUUUAAUUUUUAACUGUCC